AUUUUCUCCUCGAAUUCUAUGCGUGGUCUCAUGAUGGUAAUUUCUACAGUGACCCAAGAGGAUUGGCAUCACAUGGUUUUGAAAUUCUGAGAGACAGAAGAGAAGGCAUCUGUUCUGGAUCAGUACCUCUCCUUGGUGCCAUCAACUGAGCCAUCCUGUUCUUAUCUGCUCUCCUAUUGCGAGUCCCCACAAGUGCCCCUUGUUGCUCACAAGGCCCGUCAGAUCCACUGGCUCUUGGAUGCUCCUGGCUACAUGAUGGGAAACCCGAGGCCCAGUGAAAUCUGAGAAACCCUGUAGAAAUUUUGCUGGCAGAUUUUAUUUUUAAGUACACC
Long non-coding RNA from Neomonachus schauinslandi (Hawaiian monk seal), 332 nucleotides. RefSeq lists it as uncharacterized. The record is from RefSeq and is a predicted model, not a curated record. NCBI's taxonomy places the organism in Eukaryota, Metazoa, Chordata, Mammalia, Carnivora, Phocidae. The transcript is spliced from 4 exons.